GGUGGGACCUGCAAAAUGGCAAUUUAAAAAUUAGGGUAACAUGAGCAAAGGCAUUUAUAAUACAGAAUGUCCAGCAUCCACUUGCUAAACAUAUGCACAGUUUCUUGCCCAUGAUAACAUUGUAGUGUAAUGGUUUACAGAUAGCUGCAUAUCGGUCGAAGGACAUAACUGUCAGCAGUAGACAUUCCAUUGAGCCAAGAACUAAA
This is a non-coding RNA of Pelobates cultripes (western spadefoot toad), 206 nucleotides long. The record is from the annotation of a GenBank genome assembly. NCBI's taxonomy places the organism in Eukaryota, Metazoa, Chordata, Amphibia, Anura, Pelobatidae.